Molecule: ribosomal RNA, 462 nt
Filed under: Triticum aestivum (bread wheat)
Lineage: Eukaryota; Viridiplantae; Streptophyta; Magnoliopsida; Poales; Poaceae
Description: partial small subunit ribosomal RNA
Source: RNAcentral
AUGGAUUCGACGGAGAUUUUGAAUGUCAGAUUUCAUGUUGGAGGGCAGUUCAUCCGCACCGGUCCUGUUAUGGAUUAUGUGGGGGGCGAUGAAGAGAUGUCACAGAUCGAGAGGGACAAGUUGCAAUUGCAAGAAGUUAAAGGGAAUUUGAAAGACCAUGUGGAGUUGAAGGAAUCGAUCAAGAUGUAUUUUCUAUAUCCUGGGAAGGAACUACCUGAUGGUUUGGUGUUUUUGUUUGAUGACAGUGGUUGUGUGAAUAUGUCAGACUACAUUUGUGUUGGAGAUGUAGCAGAUAUUUAUGUUGAGUAUCAUGGGGAGCAGGAAAGAGAGUACAUCAGCAGUGGCAGUGAUUAUGAGCAUGAGAUAAGGGAGGUAAGUGAUGAUGAAUUUGAAGAACAUGAUAUUGUCAUUAGUGCAGAGCCACUUGACAUGGAGUGCUCACUCAACUUAUUAGCAGUCUAG